This 9720-nucleotide long non-coding RNA is filed under the name Homo sapiens (human). Its description in RNAcentral is "non-protein coding lnc-MICAL2-1:4". The record is from RNAcentral. Lineage: Eukaryota; Metazoa; Chordata; Mammalia; Primates; Hominidae.
AUACCACAAAGGAUGGGGAAUAAGAGAUGCUCCCUCUGCCCCCAUGAGCCCCCUUAGCCAGCCUCCUGCCUCCUGCUUCCCAUCUCUCCAAGGGGAUCCACCCUGAGUCUGACCAGCAUCCCCGUGUUCCCUGUGGCCGGGAUCAGGCAGGGACACAGAGAUUGCUUGAGACACUUUCUGGUGACUAAUGCAGUAUACUUGAACAGGAAACAGACUGGAAAGGACUUAGGGGGAGCUAUAAAUAGCCCAUGUCCUAAAAAAAUGAACUUGGGAAGAAAUGGAAUUAACAAACUGGGAGGAGAACAAGGAGAUCACAGGCUCCAAACAAGACCAAGCUUUCUCUUGGGAAAUGAGCUUUUCUCCCAGAUGGAGCUCCAUCUGCCCUUGCAGGAUCAGCUCCCCCAAGUGUGCCCUGCUCCACCCUGGGGUUGACCAGCCAGCUCAGCCUGCCUGCCAAUAUGAUGCCUGGAAUUGUCUGUGGUUCUGGGGGCCAAGCCUUGUCAGGAUCAUCACGUAAGGGUGUGUAUGUGCGGAAGGGUGGUGGCUGAGGCUCAGGAUUCAAGGACUAUGGACCAUGGUGGGAAAGUAGAGAAUUGGAGCAGUGACAGGUCAGGGACAUCCCUUCUGAUGUUCCUCAGUUCUCUUCUGUUCUCUGGGCUUCAGCAAUCUGCUGUCUCUUGAACCCAGUGAGGGGAGGGGUGAGUCAGGCAGAAGAAUGAGCUCAGGUAGGAUGGCACGUCAGCAGCCUGGAGUCUGACACCGGCCAAGACACUCAGUGGCAGAGUAAUGUAGAAUAGAACACUCCAUUUCACUAAGACUGGUUCCUUUUCUGUAAGAUUGAGAGGUUAGACUAGUUCACUGGAUUUGAAAUAUUUUUAUUUUUUAAAGAUGCAUAACCUUUCUCCAAAGGAAAUCACAAGGAAAGAAGAGUACUGCCCUGGUUAAGGUGGGGACUCAGGGUUUCUCACACUUACACUCAACCAUUUCCCUUGUGGUAGCCCUGAGAAACUGCCACAGUGCACCAGGGCGUCGCCCAGCUCUGUUGAAAGCCACAGGACUGGAGCACUUGGCAAGUUUGGCUGGCCACCCAAACACAGCUCCUCACGGUUUCUUUCUGUCUUUCCUUUCUCCAUAGAGGCUGGAAAGCUAAAACAGUGAAAGGUAAUGCUGAGCAAUGGAGGCCUAACUAAUGAUGUCAGUGAAAACAGAGGAGGAACUUGUAAUUUACACUCCCCAGCUAACUUCUUCCUCCUCUUCUUCUUUUUUUUUUUUUUUAAAGACAGCACAAUCCUCCUGCCUCAGCCUCCCAAGUAGCUGGGAUGACAGAGGCAUGCCACUAUACGCGGCUCCUAGCAAACUUCUUAUAUCCUUAUUAGUUAUUGUGAUAGACUGAUUGCAAAAACAGCCACAAUCGUCUAUCCCUUCCAGUCCACACCCUCUGCAUCCUCAAUCCACACCCUCUGCAAUGUGACCGUGUAGCUCCUCCCAUCAAGAGACAGAAUCCAUUUCCCCACCCUUUGAAUAUGGGCCGGCCUUGAAAUUUGCUUUGAACAGUGUUUAUUGAAAGUGACAAUGUGCCAGCUCCACGCUUAGGUCUUAAGAAGCCUGUGUCUUCUACUGUCUCUCUCUUAAACCCCUGCUGCUGCCAUGAGAACAAGCUGGGGCUAGCCUAUGAGAAAUGAAAUAUCACACAGAGCAGAGCCGAGUUGUCCCAGCAGAGGCCACCCCAGGCCAGCCAUCCUCCAGCCAACCUGCCAGCGGACCCGAGAUGCAUGAGCAACUAGACUCAUGAGAAAUAAUACAUGUUGUUUUAAGGCAUACGUUUUGGGGGUAGUCUAUUUCUGUUCUAGUAUUUAUUGUCGAGUAACACACCACCCCAAAACUUAGUGAUUUAAAACAAUGUAUUAUAUACUCAUUUAUUACAAUCUCCCAAGGUUCUACGCAUUGACUAGUCGCCGUGGGGCAAUUCCCACCUGGGGGCUUUCAGAUGAUUAGUCAGAUGUCGGCUAGGGCUGCAGGUAUCCGAAAGGUUCAGCUUGAGUGGGUGCCUGGGAUGGCUCACCCAGGUGGCUGGCACUGGAUGCCAGCUCUCAUGCUGGACUCAACUGGGCUGUUGACUGCACAUGACCUCUGCAUGGGCAAGGGCUUUUCACACCGGGGUGCUGGGUUCCACGAGGCAGGAAGAGGAUGCUGCUAGGCCAGGUAAGAGUUGUGGCAGCACUGGCACGGCAUCACUUUCUUUCUAUUCUAUUGGUCAAAACAAUCACAGCAUCGACCCUUGGAAACAUAGAUGUCACAUCUUGAUAGGGAAAUGGCAAGGUCACAUUUCAAAAGAGAAGAUAGGAUGGGAGAUAUUGUUGCGGCCAUCUUUGGGAAAUACAAUCUGCCACAGUUGCAUAGCAUUAUUGAAGCAAUGAGUAACACAGACAGACAUUUUUAUUUUCCAGGUCUCCAUCUUCCUUGCAGCACUGCUUUCUGUCCAGCCUCCCUGCAUACCCACUUCAUCACACAGGGAAUGGCAAACACUGAGCUGCUGGGGGAAAGGCCUGCAGGGCCCUUCUGAGCUUUGUCGCCAGCUCUGGGGUCAGCAGGAAAGAAUGCAGUGACUGACCAGUGAUCACUGCCUCAAGGACCACGAGAAGAGGGGAAAGCCCUGGUAUGAAUGAGCUUGUACCCUUCACCUCGCUGCGUCUUGGUUUCCUCUUUUACAUUUUUCUAAGGAUUCUUCAGUAUGGAUAUGAGGAAAUAUAAUUGUCUAAUUUCAUUAGAGAGUGGAUCCAGGCAAUGCAAGCCGAGUGCUUUGCCAGUACUAGGUGCGGUGGAGGAAAAAAUUAGAUUAUUCACAGGUUCAAAUUGAGAUUCUCACCUUAUUACUCACACAGAGAGACUAAAGGUAUCAAUUUCUGCUCUCCCCAGCCAGGCCUACCCACAGGAGCUAGAGAUAUUCAACUGCCUUAUUUAGCUUCACCCAGGCCCAGGAGCUGCUGAAAUUAGACCUGGCCUGGUAGUGGGAACCCCAUCUGGGCAGUGGGAGAGAAAGGGUUAAGAUCUGUGAUCAUCGCAUGUUCUUACUCAUAAGUGGAAGCCAAACAAUGGGAACACAUGGACACAGGGAGGGGAACAACACACACUGGGGCCUGUGGCAGGGCAGGGGGAAGGAGAGCAUCAGGUCAAAUAGCUAAUGCAUGCUGGGCUUAAUACCUAGGUGAUGGGUUGAUAGGUGUAGCAAACCACCACGGCACAUGUUUACCUAUGUAGCAAACCUGCACAUUCUGCACAUGUAUCCUGGAACUUAAAGUAAAACUAAAAAAUGUUUAAAAUAAUUAAAAAGAAAAAGAUCUGCGUUUAUGACCCAAGGUUCCUGAGAAGGCUCCCUGCCUUGGGCCUCCACCUCUGUUCUCAGCUCCAGCCUUUCCCCAGCCCAAUCUGGGUAACUGAGCUUCUGCCCCAGGUUUUCCAGUGAGCAAGAAGUCCCCUUAACCCCAUUCAGCUGGGAUUCUAUGGUCUUGCCAACUUCCCCUAUCAUUUUUCCUUUUAGACCACGCCCUAUUCCUGAAUCCAAAACCACUUCCUGCUUCAAAGAGGAAGUUCCUUCAGAAGCCAGAUGCUGUUACCCACCUGAAAACAAGUAUCUUUGGCAAAAGCCAGAGACUCCUCCUGUCAGAGCCCUGCCCACCUGCCUGAGAGCCCCUGCCAGGUCAGCAGCCAGUAUGUUAACCCCCCUGAGGGCCCUAGGCCCCCGCUACUCCUGUCCCGGCAGGUCUCAGAGCUGAGCCCAGAGGGUCACGACAGGAAGAAGGCAGAUGCCUUCCAUACUGACUAGGUUUUUGGCUUGCUUUGCACCAACAUCCUGUCUGCCCUGUUUCCUACUGAGGGCAAACUGGACUGGUUUUUAAUUAAACCCAUUCCCCCAGAGAGCUUGGGGGAGAGAUAGCCUCAUAGAAUUCCUUCAGUAGUUAUCAGAAGGAGACCCCGUGGAGGCAGAGGUUGCAGUGAGCAGAGAUCGUGCCACUGCACUCCGGCCUAGGCAACAGAGUAAGACUCCGUCUAAAAAAAAAAAGAAAAAAGAAGGAGCCAGGGUGGGGGGUGGGAACAGGAGAGAGGGAGGGGGGAAAGUGAAGUCACAAGUCCAGAGUGGUUCCUUCCUGGCUGAGCUAAUGCCCUAGCAAUGCACCUUAUGUAAUGGGCAACUCACCUGAGCGUCUGAGCCCAUAGGAGUGCCAGCCCCUCCCUGUGGUGCCUCCCCUGCAGGGCCCACAGCCACACCCUCAGUGCACACACUCUCCUUCCUAUCCAUCCACUGAUACCUGGGGAUGACCUUUGAACGAUGUCCAGCAAAUCAAGCAAAUUAAAGGCAAUCACAUCCACUGUAAUACAUCUGCUUGGUAGAACAUUUGAACAGAGAAAACAUUCCCCAGAGCUCCACCCCUAGAGAUAGUUUUUCUUUUAUUUUUUUCACCCAGGUUGGAGUGCAGUGGUGCAAUCUUGGCUCACUACAACCUCUGCCUCCCAGGCUCAAGCAGUUCUCCCACUUCAGCCUCUCGAGUAGCUGUGACAACAGGUGCAUACCACCACACCCGGCUAAUUUUUUGUAUUUUUGGCAGAGACGAAGUUUUGCCAUAUUGCCCAGGCUGGUCUCAAAUUCCUGAGCUCAGGUCAUCCACCUGCCUUAGCCUCCCAAAAUGCUGGGAUUACAGGUGUGAGCCACAACACCCGGACUUCUAGAGAUAGUUUCUAUAUUCUAGAGAUGUUUUUAUUUUUAUUUAUGUUUAACCAAAUUAAACUCUUCAGUUCUUCUUUCUGGUGCUUCCUUUGGUCUUUAGCUGAGUCCCUCUCCAAAACUAGAGGCCAUAGGGUUGCUGUGGCUUUUCCAUCCCCAUCAUAAAGGGUAGUGCUCCCUCAGUGAUUGGUUUCAGGAUUCUCCCCAAUACAAAUCAGGCCUCCAAGAACCAUGUCCCCUUCAGAGAGGAUUCCUAAGCUUCCUCCUCUUCCUCCUCUUCUUACUGCAAGGGAAAUACAAGAUCAGUCUGGAAUGGGCUUCCAGAUUCAUACAACCUCCCCCAGGACACAGAUUCCGGGAGAGAGAAGAGGAAGGCAGGUUUGGAGCCUCCACCACCACCAGUUUCCCUCACGCCCUCCUCUCUCCCUUCCCCUCUUUCUCAACUUCCUCCUUUCCCUCUCUUCCUUCUAUGAUCUGUCCCUGCCCCUCUGUCUCCUCUUCCUUUCCUUCCUUCCUCCCUUUUCUCCUCCCUUCCUUAGCAGGCAGCAAUGAGCAGGUGGCACUGAACUUAGAUUCCACCAUCACAGGUGGGUAGAUCUUGGCUCACAAGCCUGUCAUUGACUAGCUAAGUAGCCCUGAUUGGAGGAGUCAUUUUAUUUCCCUGAGCCUUUGUUUCUCAUCUGCAACAUGGAGAUUUUACUCACCACCGUGGUGCAGACAAAGUAGGACAAAGUAUCCUUUAACCCAGGGCUUGACACGUGACACUCAUCAAACAUUGCUGAGCUCUAAUCUGCAUCAGGAUAUGGUAAGUGUCUACUGGGUGCUGGGACAAAAGGUACAGAUGGGAGCAAGGCAGAGAUCCCUAAACAGACCUCUGUUGUGAUCUUUGUUGUAAUACAUGGUAAUUAUUUGUUUCCAAAAAGAGGUGGAAGGAGACAUAGAUAGCUUCUACCGCCAGGCAUUCAGGCACCAGCUGUGAAGGCCUUCUGCACAUUGAAAAACUCAGAGUAGCCUGGUGGCUGGAAUGAAAAGUCAACACCAGUUCCCCCAGCAAAAUAUUUCUCCAUUCAGCCUUUUCGGCUCAUUGGUUUGCCUGAAAUCAGUUGUUUCUCCCUGGGGAAGCAAUCUUUAAAAUGGUGAGGAGAGUGUGCAUCUGAUGUGCCUGCACUUGUGCCUGUGAAACAGGGUAGGCUCAGAGCUCCGUGCAGGCCCAUGAAGUCCCCUCAGAGACACCAGUGUUGGGUUGUCAUAGGGUCCCAGAAAAUGCCUGUCUGCUUCGUGAGAUUUAGGCUGGGUGCACAGAGGUUUCACUUGGUGUGCCUGACUUAUUUAGGGGCUGCCUGAAGUGCCAUGUGAGAAAGGAGGCUGAGGGCGUUGGGUUUGGAGGAAGAGAGCACUAGGGUGGAUUAGCAGUAUCUGCUGCAAGUGGAAUUUGGAGGGGAUAGAAAUCGUGCGUUCAGCUUAUUUGGCAUCUCUGGGUUGGCCUCACUUUGGCAGUUGGUUCCUGCUGGCUGGGCUCUGCUCACACGCAGUGAGAGGUCUCUCAGAGGCUCUUUGUUCUGCUGCUGGGGAUGCCUUGGGAAUGAUGCCCUGGGGUGCACUGCCACAUCCCACACAAAAGGUCUCCUUAGCUGGAGAGCCUUACCAGGUGCAUGGAGGGGAAGACGCGGUACCAUAAAGAUGAGGAUUCCUCUCAAAGUAAUAUAUGCAUUGAAUGAAAUGCCUACUUCAGUAAGGAAUUUCCCAAAGCUUUACAAGCUAAUUCUAAAAUUCACAUGGAAGAGAGGCCAGAGAAUAGCUUAAAUUACUUUGAACAAGGAGGGGAGACUUAGCUGCCAGCUAUUAAAAUCCAUUAUUAAGGCACUGAUGUUAAAGAAUCACCACACAAAUAGACAAACAGACAUUGGAGCAGAAGACAGGGAACAGAAAGACGCUCAUAUGUAUCUGGAUAACAUUGACAGGAAAAUCAAAUUGUAAUGUCACAUACAGGAGUCUUCAUGAAGGUAAGAUGUUUAAAAACAUUUUUAAAAGUAUAAAACAUUGUUUAGAAAUAUACGCCUUUGUAGUAAAUGUGUAAAAACACGCAUUAGAAUGAUGAACACCAAAUUCCAGAGAAAGGGAAUGGAUCCCUGUGGGGCACAGAGUGUGCAUUAACUAUGUUUAUGUCUUUAAAGGAAGAAAAUAUUUGAAGCAGAUAUGGCAAACGGAGAAGAUUCAUGAAAGCUGGAUGGCCGGCGCAUGAGCGUUUGCGGUGUCAUACUUUGUUUCCUUAUGUUUGAAAUAUUAGCAUGGCUGGGCAUGGUGGCUCACGCCUGUGAUCCUAGCAUUUUGGGAGGCUGAAGCUGGGGGAACACUUGAGGUCAGGAGUUCAAGACUAGCCUGGGCAACAUAGUGAGACCUCAUCUCCAAAAAAAAAAAAAAAAAAAGAAAGAAAGAAAAUGAAACAUUAGGGAAAAAAAAUCCCCCAUGUGCCUGGUCUGCCGGAUUCCCCCAGUAGCCUGGUUAUGGCUUGGGAGGGGAAAAGGAGGGGUGUUUUUGUCUAUUUCUCACAUAUGACACUCAAUGACUUCACAAUCAUUAAUUCAUCACCCACUAAGGGUCAUGCACUGAGGUACCAAGACUAAUGAAGGUCCGGCCCUCCCCAGUGUAGGAGGCAGGUAAAUGAUCACACUGUGACAAAUGCUCAAACGGGGAUGUGCUUGCAAAGGCUAGAGACAGCACGGGAGGAAGGAGCAGUCCAUUCUGCUGAGAGUGUGAGUACCGAGAAAGCAUGGCACUGGGCUUGAAGGAUGAGGAGUUCGCCAGACACAGAGGAUGAGGAGAGCAGCACGUGAGUAAAGAAAACAGAGAAAGGAACUCUCUGUCAUGUUGUGGGCUGGAGGGCAGCAUUCACACUGGACAAGUGCUUCAGAAAGAUCCUUCUGGCAGGUAGUGGGCAGAAAAAUGAGUGAAGUCAGAGCGAUCGACUAGGAAUCCACUGAAAGUGGAUUUAAAUGAGAGGUGAUGAAAAACUCAGCUACAGCUGGGCGAGGUGGCUCACACCUGUGAUCCCAGCAUUUUGGGAGGCCGAGGUGGGCGGAUCACAAGGUCAGGAGUUUAGGACCAGCCUGGCCAACAUGGUGAAACCCUGUCUCUACUAAAACAAACAAACAAACAAAACUCUCUCUAUAUAUAUGUAUAAUAUAUUAAUAUAUUAUAGAUCUAUAAUAUAUUAAUAGAAUGUAUUAUAGAUAUAUAUUAAUAUAAUGUAUUAUAUAUAUAAAUAUAAUAUAUUAUAUAUAAUAUUAUUUUAUAUAUAUAUAUACACACACAAAAAUUAGCCAGGUGUGAUGGCAGGCACCUGCAGUCCCAGCUACUCGGGAGGGUGAGGCAGGAGAAUCGCUUAAACUCAGGAGACAGAGGUUGCAGUGAGCUGAGGUCACACCACUGCACUCCAGCCUGGGCGAAAGAGCAAAACUCUGUCUCAAAAAAAUAAAUGAAUAAGAAAAAAAGAAAAGAAAAAGAAAAACUCAGCUACAACAGAGUGACUGGUUAUAAUUUCCCUGCAAAACUGCUAAUUCUCUGAUGGAGGGACAAGCGCUGAAUCAGGUUUUGUUUAUCUCUGCAGAGUACCUACAUUGUUCCCUCUUAUGAUAGGAGCUCAAACACAUGUUGAUGAAAGGGAGGGAGGAAGGAAGCAGGCAGGCCCGCAGGCCCAUGCCCUUCUUUUACAGAUAAGGAGACAGAGCUGGGACGGGUGGAGGAGUGUUCAAGGACAUUCUUGGCUAGAAACUUACUAUCUAAAAUAGUAAAGAGACCUCUAACCAUUCUGCUGACAAACUUAUAAGCACAAUAAGCUUUGAAUAACAAACACUCCGCAGGUAAAGUUCCAUGACAACGAUUCUUGUUAUAAAGUUGUGGUCUUCAUAGAGAAGUGCUUUCCUCUCUCAGGCAGGAAAAGAGUUCCUUUAAAAUAGAUCGAAAUGCUCUGUGAUGAAUAAUACGAAGCAGUAAGGCCUUCACCUGGCCUGGGUCCAAAUAACAGGUUCUAUUCAGGUGGCUCUGAAAGCACCUGAUUGUGUGCUGUCGCCACUGUGGGCAGGGCAAGUCCAGCAGAACUUUACAAGUCUUUUGUUCUGCCAGCAAGCAGUAAUUGGUUCUCCACCCCAGUGUAGUAAACUUCCAGCCACCUGAAUGAAAUUCACCUAAUUUAACAAACUGCACGAGAAGCAAAGCAACUCCCGGAGCAUACACAGGUGUGAAUAUUGUGCAUCUGUCUUCUCUGUGAUUCCUCUUGUCUUGAGGCUUCCACACCCCUCUGGUCCUUGGUUCGUCCUGUCCCCUCUUCUCCAGACCCAUCUUCCCAUCUACUGCAGACCUGGCUCUAUUGGGUAUUGAAUCUGCUUCUCUCCACACCUCAGUUUCCCCCUUUCACCUAGCUCUUCCUUUUAGCUUCUAAACAUGCUCAAGGCUUGCAGCCUAAAAAUGAAAAUACUACAAACUACUCUUUAUUCUGCUUCUUCCCCCACUGUGUGCCCCUUCCAGUCAUAAGCGAUUCUGCAAGGAACCAUCUAUACUCAGUCUCUACCAUCUCAUUUCUUGCUACAUAGCAAACAACGUUCUAAGAAUUUUACAUAUAUUGACUUAUGGAAGCCUGACAACAUCACUGUGAUGUAAGUGCUAUUGUUAUUUACAUUUUAUGGAUGAGGACAAGGAGGCACUGAACAGCAAAGUAUUUGCCCUGGAUCACCAGGAUUUGGGCAAAGGUAUGCUCUGAGACCUUUUUCCCCGCCUUAUGCCCAUUACAAGGUACCUUGAAUGAAAAAAUACACAAGAACAUUGCAUGGACCUGUCUCAUUUAUUGAUUCAUUCAUUUCUUCAUUAUUUAACACUUACUGGAGGCCUACCAUGUGCAAGACAAGAGAAAGACAUGAGUCUGCUGUUGACAUGGUCAGAGUCCAAAAUGGGAGGCAGGCCUGCAAUAUAGCAUAAGAAGAGCUCUGGUAAAUAGGUGACAGGGG